CCUACGGGGGGCAGCAGUGGGGAAUAUUGGACAAUGGGCGAAAGCCUGAUCCAGCCAUGCCGCGUGUGUGAAGAAGGCCUUCGGGUUGUAAAGCACUUUCAGUGGGGAAGAAAGCCUUGGGGCUAAUACCCUCGAGGAAGGACAUCACCCACAGAAGAAGCACCGGCUAACUCCGUGCCAGCAGCCGCGGUAAUACGGAGGGUGCGAGCGUUAAUCGGAAUUACUGGGCGUAAAGCGCGCGUAGGCGGUCUGAUAAGCCGGUUGUGAAAGCCCCGGGCUCAACCUGGGAACGGCAUCCGGAACUGUCAGGCUAGAGUGCAGGAGAGGAAGGUAGAAUUCCCGGUGUAGCGGUGAAAUGCGUAGAGAUCGGGAGGAAUACCAGUGGCGAAGGCGGCCUUCUGGACUGACACUGACGCUGAGGUGCGAAAGCGUGGGUAGCAAACAGGAUUAGAUACCCUAGAGUC
RNAcentral lists this ribosomal RNA (464 nucleotides) under Vreelandella stevensii. RNAcentral describes it as "partial 16S ribosomal RNA". It matches the Rfam family "Bacterial small subunit ribosomal RNA", at positions 338 to 795 of the family's 1533-position model. The record is from RNAcentral. Lineage: Bacteria; Pseudomonadati; Pseudomonadota; Gammaproteobacteria; Oceanospirillales; Halomonadaceae.